This 365-nucleotide long non-coding RNA is filed under the name Helianthus annuus (common sunflower). RNAcentral describes it as "hypothetical non coding rna". Lineage: Eukaryota; Viridiplantae; Streptophyta; Magnoliopsida; Asterales; Asteraceae. The record is from RNAcentral.
GUGUGUGUGUUUGUGUUCUUGUGUGAAUCAACAAUUGAAGGAGAAAAGAAGGAAGAGAAAUUGCAUGUAUAAUAUGUGAUUUUAGAAGUGUUCAUCACCUUCUAAGCAUCAAGUAAGAAUGGCAUGGAUUGAAAGACAAUGGGUUAAACGAAUGGAAUGGAUGACAACACUUCUACGGGCAAAGGGGAAAAUACCGAAUUACUACAGCGGCACAAAGUGAAAACAGAAAGUUUAUGACACUUACGCAAUACUUGUGAAUUUACGAGAACCUAUUGGAUGUGAUUUAUCAGCAUUAUAAUCCUCAAUGUGUGUGUUUGUAUAUAUAUAUAUAUAUAUAUAUAUAUAUAUAUAUAUUUACAUGAGUU